CCUGACUAUGCCACCCUGAAGACACCUGAUCUUGUCUAAUUCUGAAAACUGAACAGGGUUGGGUCUGGUAGUACUUGGAUGGGAAACCACCAGGAAAUAUUAAAUGUCUACAGGA
This 115-nucleotide ribosomal RNA is filed under the name Pogona vitticeps (central bearded dragon). Lineage: Eukaryota; Metazoa; Chordata; Lepidosauria; Squamata; Agamidae. The record is from RNAcentral.